CCCGGGACGCUCAGCGCCUGCUCCGGCUCCAGCUGAGCGCGGCUCCCGGCCCCGAGCGCUUCCGCCUCGGCCUCCGCGGCGGCCCCGACUCGGGCCCUGAGCCGAGCCUGGUGGAGUACGGCCUGAAGGAGAUCUCGUACGAGGCCAAGAGCGGCACCUGCCACGAGCUGAAGGUCCUCGCGCGGCCCGACGACCCGCUGGUCUUCCACUUCGAGGACGAGCAGGAGGCGCAGGCCUGGUGGGCGGUGCUCAGCAGCUCCCUCCGCGAAGUGCACCAAGCUCCUGAAGGAACCAACGGGCUCACCGGACGGCCCUCUUCCCAGCCUUUGGCUGCCUCUCUGCCUUUGGAGACGGCGAAGAAAGGUUAGUGCAGGCUGCUGCCUAGUAAGUAGCCUGGCAACAAGUGAACUCGGUUCGUUCCGUUAUGGGCUCAGGAUAGUUAAAUUGAAAUAUGUGCAGUGAAACAGACAAACGUGUCCUUCUUAAAAUCUCAGCGGUUCUUUUUUGCCUCUUGGCAG
Molecule: long non-coding RNA, 518 nt
Filed under: Notechis scutatus (mainland tiger snake)
Lineage: Eukaryota; Metazoa; Chordata; Lepidosauria; Squamata; Elapidae
Description: lncRNA (ENSNSUG00000018518.1)
Source: RNAcentral